Molecule: long non-coding RNA, 550 nt
Filed under: Brassica napus (rape)
Lineage: Eukaryota; Viridiplantae; Streptophyta; Magnoliopsida; Brassicales; Brassicaceae
Description: long non-coding RNA (BNAP_LNC026342)
Source: RNAcentral
AUUUUAUUGGGGUUUGUCCACUAAUAUAGGGAGCAUAUGAAGUUUUACUAAAUUAAUUGAUAAAAAAAGAACGAUACUCAUGUACGAUGAAAGAGAAUUUAGAUUAAAUUAAUACAAAUGUAGAAUGUGGUUAAAAAUUUUAAAACAACACUAAAGAUUAUAGGUUUCAGUAUAUUAAUCAUUUACCGAAAAACUUAACACAUAGAUUUUGAGAAAAAUUCAAAAAAUAUGACAAUAUUGUUUUAAUGCAUAGCUGUAUCAUAAAUUAACAUAUGAUGAUGGUUAGAGAGGUUUGGAACUUUUGUUGCCUCCGUUUCUCUAGAAUAACAAUUUUAUUGUGAUUCGUUAAAAAACUUUUGGGAGCAAAUGAAGUUUUACUAAAUUAAUUGAAAAAAUAGAACGAUGCUCAUGUACCAUGUAAGUGAGUUUAGAAUAUAUUAAUACAAAUAUAGAAUGUGGUUAGAAAUUUUAAAACAAAUCUAAAGAUUAUAGGUUUUCAGUAUAUUAACCAUUUACCGAAAAACUGAAUAUUUUGUAGGGGUUAACACAU